AGAACUCUAAAGAACUAUUUCAUAGUUGCCUCUGGGUCUACAGGUCACAAGCUGAAAAUGCAGCUCUGUGACCAGGGAAAAGGACUUCAGCUGUUCCCUGCUGAUGACCAAUGAGCUUUGAAUGACGGUUGAUAUAACUUGGGUGACGAGGUUUCUGAAUUACAGCUUUCGUCUGGAUAUCUCAAGGAGCUUGCAGGACUGCCGUUGAAGGACACUGGAGAUGUCCCCCCUUGAGUCUGCAAGGAGUGUCCGAUGAGAGAACCGCAGCAGCUGCUUGGGGCCCUCCUGCCCAGCAGUGAAAGACUGACCAGUACAAGCAUUUACACUGUUAUCCUGGGGCACGUCUGUCUCCGGAGGCAACGUGAAGGCACGAAGGAGCAUCCCCUUUGAAGGAGGAGGGUCAGUGCAGUGAGGACAACGACAGAGGAGCCCCACAAGCCAUUAGGUCUCCUCUGCCUGAGGUGGAUUAAGAAGUAAGUUGGAGCAUGCCUACGUGACAUGUGAUGCAGAGAUCGCCCAGCUAGUGCUGACCCAAACUGAUAAACA
This 546-nucleotide long non-coding RNA is filed under the name Struthio camelus australis. RNAcentral's name for it is "lncRNA (ENSSCUG00000014619.1)". Lineage: Eukaryota; Metazoa; Chordata; Aves; Struthioniformes; Struthionidae. The record is from RNAcentral.